UUUCGGCUCGUAAAACUCUGUUAUUAGGGAAGAACAAACGUGUAAGUAACUGUGCACGUCUUGACGGUACCUAAUCAGAAAGCCACGGCUAACUACGUGCCAGCAGCCGCGGUAAUACGUAGGUGGCAAGCGUUAUCCGGAAUUAUUGGGCGUAAAGCGCGCGUAGGCGGUUUCUUAAGUCUGAUGUGAAAGCCCACGGCUCAACCGUGGAGGGUCAUUGGAAACUGGGAAACUUGAGUGCAGAAGAGGAAAGUGGAAUUCCAUGUGUAGCGGUGAAAUGCGCAGAGAUAUGGAGGAACACCAGUGGCGAAGGCGACUUUCUGGUCUGUAACUGACGCUGAUGUGCGAAAGCGUGGGGAUCAAACAGGAUUAGAUACCCUGGUAGUCCACGCCGUAAACGAUGAGUGCUAAGUGUUUAGGGGGGUUUCCGCCCCUUAGUGCUGCAGCUAACGCAUUAAGCACUCCGCCCGGGGGAGUACGACCGCAAGGUUGAAACUCAAAGGAAUUGACGGGGACCCGCACAAGCGGUGGAGCAUGUGGGUUUAAUUCGAAGCAACGCGAAGAACCUUACCAAAUCUUGACAUCCUUUGAAAACUCUAGAGAUAGAGCCUUCCCCUUCGGGGGACAAAGUGACAGGUGGGUGCAUGGUUGUCGUCAGCUCGUGUCGUGAGAUGUUUGGGUUAAGUCCCGCAACGAGCGCAACCCUUAAGCUUAGUUGCCAUCAUUAAGUUGGGCACUCUAGGUUGACUGCCGGUGACAA
This 760-nucleotide ribosomal RNA is filed under the name Staphylococcus saprophyticus. Its description in RNAcentral is "bacterial SSU rRNA". It matches the Rfam family "Bacterial small subunit ribosomal RNA", at positions 416 to 1161 of the family's 1533-position model. The record is from RNAcentral. Lineage: Bacteria; Bacillati; Bacillota; Bacilli; Caryophanales; Staphylococcaceae.